CCCAAUUCCGCAUUCCAAUCCAAACGGCGGCCGCCUCCCGGCCCUCCGGCGUCGUCGCCUCAACGACGAGGGACAGAGGGGCCCGGCUCGCCGUCCUCCUCUCCUGAAGGAGAAUUUACUCCCGCCGCUGCGCAAGCCAUCCUGUCGCUUGUCUCGACGAUGCGCCACCGCGUGCUGACGCCGACGCUCUGCGCCGUCGCGCCGUUCGACAUCCGUUGGCUGCUGCCGAAGCCGCGCCUCACCGACGCCAUGCGCUGUUCGACAUCCGUUGGCUGCUGCCGAAGCCGCGCCUCACCGACGCCAUGCGCCGUUCGACAUCCGUUGGCUGCUGCCGAAGCCGUGCCUUACCGGCCCCAAGCGGUCGUGGCCGAGGGCCACCGCGUGGGCAAGGAGCCGCUGCGCACACCAUGUACGUGGUGCCGCCAACGCCACUGAUGCGGGGAUGCAUGAUCUUCUUUGCCAUGGAUGGCCUGGUGCCUCGCUGCGUUCAGUGCCCAGAGCACCGUCUAGAGGCAUUUCCUCUCUUCUGUGAUCUUGGGCGUGGCCUCAUAACACGGGAUCAGUGGAAGAGAGGCGGAGGCGACUACAGGCGGCAGCAAAUCGAUUCCAAGCAGCGGCAACACUCCCGUGCGCGUGCGGUCGCUCGACCCAAUCGAGCGGAUAGCGAGAGAGAACGUGCGCGCUAGGUUAGGAGGUGGGUUUCUUUUUUUCGAGGGUAAAGAGAGUUUUUAUUGCAAAAUCAUAGAGUUACAGUCGAGAGGCCAUACAUCCUCAAUGCAAGGAGGAAUCGAGCCUAGCCACACGGCAGUAGCACGCUCCAUACGGCUAUAGUUUGCCAGACGAUCGGCAACUCUAUUUUGAACACGACUAAGUUUCUGAGGAACAAACUCCCUAAUACCAGCUAA
Molecule: long non-coding RNA, 905 nt
Organism: Triticum dicoccoides
Lineage: Eukaryota; Viridiplantae; Streptophyta; Magnoliopsida; Poales; Poaceae
Exons: 2
Source: RefSeq, a predicted model, not a curated record